GUAGGUGGCAAGCGUUGUCCGGAAUUAUUGGGCGUAAAGCGCGCGCAGGCGGUUCUUUAAGUCUGAUGUGAAAGCCCACGGCUCAACCGUGGAGGGUCAUUGGAAACUGGAGAACUUGAGUACAGAAGAGGAAAGCGGAAUUCCACGUGUAGCGGUGAGAUGCGUAGAGAUGUGGAGGAACACCAGUGGCGAAGGCGGCUUUCUGGCCUGUAACUGACGCUGAGGCGCGAAAGCGUGGGGAGCAAACAGGAUUAGAUACCCUGGUAGUCCACGCCGUAAACGAUGAGUGCUAAGUGUUAGGGGGGUUUCCGCCCCCCUUAGUGCUGCAGCUAACGCAUUAAGCACUCCGCCUGGGAGUACGGCCGCAAGGCUA
Molecule: ribosomal RNA, 373 nt
Filed under: uncultured organism
Description: partial 16S ribosomal RNA
Rfam family: Bacterial small subunit ribosomal RNA
Source: RNAcentral